This 308-nucleotide ribosomal RNA is filed under the name uncultured archaeon. Its description in RNAcentral is "bacterial SSU rRNA". It matches the Rfam family "Archaeal small subunit ribosomal RNA", at positions 526 to 834 of the family's 1478-position model. The record is from RNAcentral.
CGGUCUGGUAAAUCUCUGGGUAAAUCGAACGGCUCAACCGUUCGAAUACCAGGGAGACUGCUAGACUUGGGACCGGGAGAGGCCAGAGGUACUCUUGGGGUAGAAGUAAAAUUCUGUAAUCCUAGGAGGACCACCAGUGGCGCAAGCGUCUGGCUAGAACGGAUCCGACGGUGAGGGACGAAGCCCUGGGGCGCGAACCGGAUUAGAUACCCGGGUAGUCCAGGGUGUAAACGAUGUGGACUUGGUGUCGGAAGUCUUACGCGGGCAUCCGGUGCCGUAGGUAAAGUGUUAAGUCCACCGCUUGGGAA